Long non-coding RNA from Pezoporus flaviventris, 284 nucleotides. RefSeq lists it as uncharacterized. The transcript has 2 exons. The record is from RefSeq and is a predicted model, not a curated record. Lineage: Eukaryota; Metazoa; Chordata; Aves; Psittaciformes; Psittacidae.
CUCAGCCAUCAACUACAGCUGAACCAGGCAGGGAAGGGGACUGGAAGCACCUCAGGCACUGAUGGGAUGUGACAGACAUGGUCUGGGAAAAAAUCCAAUGCAUUAGGUAACAAGCUUCACUUCGGAAAGGGUAGCACAUUGCAUAGCAAGGACCUGAAAAUCCCAGCGUGGUGCAAACAGACCUCAGAGCCAGCAGAUGAGCCACACCAAUCACAGUACAUUCAGUCAGUGUUAACAAUCUUUCCAGUCCACUGCCCGUGCAAUAAACCUGGGGUGAGAUGAGA